This 301-nucleotide ribosomal RNA is filed under the name uncultured bacterium. RNAcentral's name for it is "partial 16S ribosomal RNA". It matches the Rfam family "Bacterial small subunit ribosomal RNA", at positions 509 to 808 of the family's 1533-position model. The record is from RNAcentral.
CAGUAGCCGCGGGAAUACGUAGGUCCCGAGCGUUGUCCGGAUUUAUUGGGCGUAAAGCGAGCGCAGGCGGUUUGAUAAGUCUGAAGUUAAAGGCUGUGGCUCAACCAUAGUUCGCUUUGGAAACUGUCAAACUUGAGUGCAGAAGGGGAGAGUGGAAUUCCAUGUGUAGCGGUGAAAUGCGUAGAUAUAUGGAGGAACACCGGUGGCGAAAGCGGCUCUCUGGUCUGUAACUGACGCUGAGGCUCGAAAGCGUGGGGAGCGAACAGGAUUAGAUACCCCAGUAGUCCCUGUCUCUUAUACA